AAAAAAGAAUUGCAUUGAUCACAUUUCUCACAAUACAUCUAAGAGAAAACAUGCGAAGGAUGAGAAACAUUUAACACCCUCUGGCCCUCCCAUUCUGCAUUUCGGAUGACUGACAUUGUCUCCAGCCUCCUCUCAGCACAAUGAACAUCCCGGUGACUAAUCCAUGUGCCACAUCUGUUGCUGUGAUCAGAGGAGACAGGACCAGGACACAGAAGAAUAUCCGCCUAUUAGUUGUACAGAGCGGCACAAGGCUUCGUUAUGUCAGACACCAGGGAAUACCUAACCUGAACUCUAUAUGGACCACCCGCUCAGAAAGUUUCAUGGACAUCACCAGUGGAAGAAACUCCCUGGUUGUGCAGCGCAUUGAGAGACACGAGCCACGAAGCAGCAAUGGGGGCUUUUGGGCUGAUUCCUGCAGAGCAUCCUGCUUUCCAUCACUCAAAUAAUGAUAGAACUCGGGUCCACCUGGUUCAUUCUGUGGGUCAGUUCCCUCCCUGGCCCCUGGUGCCAAUCUCAUGCCUGUCCCAUGGGGCCGAGUGAUGUACAGGGGGGGUCACAGGCAGAGGUUUGCUCCUGCAAGGGCACCUCUAGCCCAGAACACAGCGGGGAGGGCGACUGGAACAGGCCGGGGGCAGCCUCACGUCAGAGCUGUGCCACCAGACACUGAGCCAUGGACUCACCUUCACAGAACCAACGGGCUUCCCACCAUAACGAGGAUAAUGCAGGAAGACAGCAGGCUGCAGCAGGUACCAAAGGCAACCACCUGCUCCUGCCCAUCCACUGGACUUGACUGCCUGCCAUGCUUUUUGGUCAUCCACCUGCCAGCAGUUUUCUUGAAGGCUGAAGAAACCAGAGUCCUCCCAGAAGCAGAAGAAAGCCUCACCAUACUAUUUUCUGUGGUUCAUCCUGUGUCCUUGAUGGCCAGACUUUCUGGCUGCUGCCUUUGUCCAGGAAAUUGGGAGCCUUUUCCUCAUACACUUGGGUGAGAAGGAAAAAAAAGUGUGUGACUGUGACCUGUGUUUGUUGACGUGUAGAAAACAAGCUGGUUGCUGCCAAAACAGUCCGUGACACCUGCCCUGGCUCUUAGGUGUAGGAAUAAGAUAUCCACGAGGAUCGAGAAAUUAAAUCUAACAGAAAUAAGGCUCUGACACUUGUCUGGCUUUCGGUGUGUAAGUAGACAGUGGGCUGCCCUGCCUGGCUAAUCUUCCCCCGUCUCUAUUGACUAACCCAGACCAUGCCAGGGAAGGGAGCAUGUGGGAAUUGUUUGUGCCUCCAUCAAACUGGGGAUAGGCUUGUGGGGAAAAAGAGAAAAAAAAUUAAAAAAAGCAGCAAAGGUAUCAUUUGUGCCCACACAGGGCAGAAGUGAGGAGUCCCGUGGAGCCCGGGGUGCUGUCCUGCCUCGGAGCAGCCAGGGACCCAACCUGCCCCUUCUCAGCUUCAACGCAGGCUGAGCCUAAGGGUCACAGGAGACAGGAGGAAAGCAGAAAGGAAAGGUUUUGGGGUAGAGCCAUUAACGAAUUCCUGUAAAAUAUUUUUUCCACUCUCGUUGUUAUUAAAGCAUUUUCUUUUUUUUUUUUUUUAAAAACACUCAAAAGAUUCUUCUUUUCCAGGCUCAGACUUGAUUUAAAGCACUGCUAGGCUUCUUAGAUCUAUUUUGUCUUAGCCUGUUCAGACAAGCCUGCAGGCAGAUCCCAUUAGCACCUCCUCUUCCCCCCACCUUGGAGAAGUCCCUUUGCGUGACCCGGAGGGCGAUGAGCAGCUGGAAGUGUAAACUCAGAGACAAGCAGCGCCUGCCGCGGUGAGCACACGUGCAGCCACCAACUAAUUCACCCACUGAGGCUGUGCAGGUAAAGAAAAAAUAUCCCAAAUAGCCGGACAAUGUAAUGUAAUACGUACCCCUUCAUCUCUUUUUCUAGAAUAUUUGCAACUUCUGUUUCCCUUACUUUUAGCAAAUGGACCAAUGCAUUACACUUCUGAUAAUUCUUA
RNAcentral lists this long non-coding RNA (1986 nucleotides) under Calidris pugnax (ruff). RNAcentral describes it as "lncRNA (ENSCPUG00000007734.1)". Lineage: Eukaryota; Metazoa; Chordata; Aves; Charadriiformes; Scolopacidae. The record is from RNAcentral.